GAUGAACGCUGGCGGCGUGCCUAAUACAUGCAAGUCGAGCGAACAGACGAGGAGCUUGCUCCUCUGACGUUAGCGGCGGACGGGUGGGUAACACGUGGAUAACCUACCUAUAAGACUGGGAUAACUUCGGGAAACCGGAGCUAAUACCGGAUAAUAUAUUGAACCGCAUGGUUCAAUAGUGAAAGACGGUUUUGCUGUCACUUAUAGAUGGAUCCGCGCCGCGUUAGCUAGUUGGUAAGGUAACGGCUUACCAAGGCAACGAUGCGUAGCCGACCUGAGAGGGUGAUCGGCCACACUGGAACUGAGACACGGUCCAGACUCCUACGGGAGGCAGCAGUAGGGAAUCUUCCGCAAUGGGCGAAAGCCUGACGGAGCAACGCCGCGUGAGUGAUGAAGGUCUUCGGAUCGUAAAACUCUGUUAUUAGGGAAGAACAAAUGUGUAAGUAACUAUGCACGUCUUGACGGUACCUAAUCAGAAAGCCACGGCUAACUACGUG
This 497-nucleotide ribosomal RNA is filed under the name uncultured bacterium. RNAcentral's name for it is "partial 16S ribosomal RNA". It matches the Rfam family "Bacterial small subunit ribosomal RNA", at positions 28 to 507 of the family's 1533-position model. The record is from RNAcentral.